UUUUAGAUGAUCGGUAAAGCCACGAGUUCAACACCAAGUUCUUGGUCAAGACGCUUGAGGAAUCAGUUGAAACCAAGUUCUGCUAAAAGCAGAAGGGUAUCAAAGAAGAUUGGAGGAAUGACAGCAAAUUCAGUCUGAUUCCCAACCGUCGCCCAAAGAUAUGACUUCAAUAUGCACAUAGGCAGUCAGUAGAGUAAAUAAAGAGUCUACGGACUUAGAGUACAAUAAUCAUCCAGUCGUCCAGCUACACUAUUCAGUGAUGCUUCUGCUUCUCCCAAAGAAAUUGAGACUACGAACACAAACCAAUAAUUUGACGCAACAAUGGAAUACUGCUCAAGAUAUAAUAAGUAUGAUGCAUACAUUCAUGGAAAAGCAUGGCAACAAACAUACAAUGGAGGAAUCAAACAAUGAGGAGUAGUAAUUUGAAAUGUAUAUAAUAUUGAGACAUGAUUGCUUUUGACUUGGUUGGUUUUAGACUUGGAAUAUGUGUUUUACACUUACAUUUCAUUUGGUAGAAAGUUUUAGACUUUAAUGUAGUUUAAUAGAUGUGUUUACGCUUGUUUGAAGAUGUUGUAAUGUUUACUAGUUUGAUA
Molecule: long non-coding RNA, 593 nt
Organism: Nicotiana tabacum (common tobacco)
Lineage: Eukaryota; Viridiplantae; Streptophyta; Magnoliopsida; Solanales; Solanaceae
Source: RefSeq, a predicted model, not a curated record